This 75-nucleotide transfer RNA is filed under the name Microcaldota archaeon. RNAcentral's name for it is "Candidatus Micrarchaeota archaeon (hot springs metagenome) tRNA-Arg". It matches the Rfam family "tRNA". From Rfam's summary of the family: Transfer RNA (tRNA) molecules are approximately 80 nucleotides in length. Their secondary structure includes four short double-helical elements and three loops (D, anti-codon, and T loops). The record is from RNAcentral. Lineage: Archaea; Nanobdellati; Microcaldota.
GGGCCCGUAGCUCAACCAGGAUAGAGCGAUUGGUUCCGGACCAAAAGGUUGCGGGUUCGAAUCCCGUCGGGCCCG